Molecule: RNA transcript, 4601 nt
Organism: Mauremys mutica (yellowpond turtle)
Lineage: Eukaryota; Metazoa; Chordata; Testudines; Geoemydidae
Gene: C2H8orf34
Gene name: chromosome 2 C8orf34 homolog
Exons: 14
Source: RefSeq, a predicted model, not a curated record
ACUUCAGUCAGCGGGGAAGCGAGUUACCGUGUGUCGCGCUAGCAGCCAGGCGCUGGCAGCGGGGGAGCCCGGCACGGAGCGGGAGGCUGCGGGCUUUGGUCCCGUAUGUGCGAGCGGCAGCCGAAGAGCCGGCCCGCCCCCGCGCAGCCAGCGGCGCUGGGGGAGCAGCAGCGGCGGCACCGCGGGCUGCGCUGUCGCUAGGGAGGCAGCUGGGCUAGGCGAGCGCGGCGGCCGGGGAAGCGGAGCGGCUGCUCCGGUAACCAAGGAGCGAACCCAGACACACGCCGGCGCCGCUCCCUUCUCCUCGUGCCCGGCUCCGGCCAGUCCCUCGCCUCAGCCGCUGCCUGAGGGCAGCCGCGCUCCGCUCCGCCCCGCCCCGCCCGGCGCGCCCCCAUUACCGGACUUGGCUCCGUCCCUGGGACUUGGGCUUUCGUCUCCCCGCGCGGGGCCCUUCCCGCUCCCGCCGCCUGAGAGCCCCGCGCCUGCGGGAGGGUGAGCCGGGCCCCCGCCUCGGCAGCUCGGCUCCUGAUGGCGGCGCAUCGGCAAACCAGGAUCCAAGCCUACCUGGAGAAGAACAGGAUCGGGCCCCUGUUCGAGGAACUAAUGACCAAGCUGAUAUCAGAGACUCCUGACCAGCCAAUCCCAUUUCUCAUUGACCAUCUUCAGUCCAAACAAGGGAACCAGAGUCAACUUCAGAGAACAUUGUCUGGAUCUGCUGCUCUCUGGGCAGAAAGUGAGACAUCAGAAAACAAAGGAACAAGAAGAGAUUGCAGAAGUUAUGAUAAACCCUGGCAGGUAAAUGCAAAGAAACCUAAAAAGUCAAAGAGUGACCUCGCUGUGUCCAACAUUUCUCCACCAUCACCGGAAUCCAAGUCGUUGCCAAGGUCAAUAGAGCAUCCUAAAUGGGACUGGCGGAGAAAGCCGGAGAGCCAGGAUUUUGAUGAAUUAAAUCAUAUUCUUCAGGAGAGUAAGAAGCUGGGGAAAGCCCUUGAGAAUCUCUCUCGCAGCAUUGCUAUUUCUGAUGAACUUGAGAAGGAUGCAACAGGUUUUAAUACUCCCCUUCUAAGACCUCGUGUGAUUGGAGAAUGGGUUGGUCGCGAGGAGAAUGAUGCUGAUCCAUUGGCUGCAGAGAUGUUGCAACCUCCAGUACCAAGAAGUAAAAAUGAACAAUGGGAUAGUGAAGAUAGCAGCAGCAGUCCUGGAGGAAGUUUAAAGAUGGAGCCAAAGACGAAAGGAUUAAAACAGCAACAGCAGCAACAUAAGAAGCUACUGGCUGCCAUGCUUUCCCAGGACUCUUUUGAUUCUGUUCAAAGCACAGCUCCCUCAGUGACAGAAGAAGAUAUUGACAAUGAAGAUGAUGCAAUGGAACUGCUAGAGGAUCUUGAUGAUUUAAGAAUGGAAGGAGUAACCAGUGUGAUGACUUCUGGGAGUAAAUUUAAUCAAACUCGAAGUGCACAUCCUGCUGAACCUCAGGCAAAGGUCACGUUGAACAUCUGCGCAAGGUGUGCCAGACUGCAAGGAGAUAACUUGGCAGAAACCGCAGAGGAUGUCUCACUAGUGUCUCAGAUGACCGAGCAAGCGGCAUCGGAUUCCAAUGUUUCAGUGCCUGAGGUGGAAACACUGAUGGAGGAUGCUGAUGAAUUUGAGAGUGCAUCUCAAAUAACAGGACCUCAUCAACCUGUUUGGGACCUGGAUGUCAUGGGUGCCAGAAACGGAGAGUCCCCAAGCCAGAAACUCCUGAAAGACUCCUUAGCUGCAAAAGAACUGCAGACCAUGGAAAAACAUCUAGCUGACAUUGAAAAGGACCUAGCACUCUGGGAAGAAGCAAGUAGUAGUCCACAUAUUAAUUUAGUUACAUCACAUCAUCCAGGAAAUCUUCAAGCCACAGUAGGCCAAAAUUCAAAGCCUCAAGUGCCAAGUCAAACUGGGAAAAAUAUUCAGCUGCAGCUGCAAGGAAACAAAUCACCACUGCUUCCUACUAACAGCAGAGCGCAGGUCUCCAGUAUCUCAAACAGUAGGCCUCAGACUUCCAAUAUGCAGAACAACAGGCCUCCAGCGCCAUCGACUCCAGGAAGCAGACCUGCAACCCCAAAUAGUUUGUUGCCACGACCUCAUACCUCUAGCAACCAGGGAAAUAAGGAUGGAAUCCUUAGUAUGCAAAGAAGCAGAUCCUUAACUUCUAAGAGUCAAAUUGGGAGGACUCUUGGCACUCCUUCAGGGCUAGCUGUACAAACGAGCGGAGAUAUUAUAGGAACUGUCCCUCAAAGAAUCAGUUUGUCAGAAGAAAAUCGUGGAGUGACCAGAUGAUCAGAAGGGCUAAAAAAGUGGACUAAUCAGUGUGAUAGCAGCAUAAACAAUGCCCCCAUGCUUCAGGAAUUCUGCUCCAUAAACCAGAAAACUUUGCCCAGCUCUGCACUACAGUCACUGCAACUAAGAAAACACAAUAAAAAUAAACAUUCAUAAUGCUAAAGUUUUUGGACCUCAGCUCUGUGCAUAGCAACUUUCACUGUUGAACUUUAAUUUUUGUUAAUAGAUUUUUUUUAAAGCAUUCCCUAGUCAUAUUUAAGGUAACAGAUUCUGAGUAUUUAGAGCGAGAUUCUUAGGAUCUGGUUCAUAAUCUUUAUAACCUUUAUUUUCAGUCAGACUUACCAGUGAAAUGUUAAGACCAUCUAUUUACAUUUGGUUGCUAAACUGCCCUUCCCCGCCUCUCUCUCUGAAACCCAAGAAUAUUAUAAAGAAAGUUGCCAUUGUAUUAUUUUAUAUUAAGAACUGACUGUAAACAGUUUAAAAAAUAAACACAUGCCCAGCCCUCUCUUAAUAAAAAUAGUAUUUACAUUUUGAUGCCUAUCAAUUGUUCAAAGCCCCACUUCCACUAUCCCAAUAGCUUUGUGAUAUGUUGGAGGUAAAAAUAAGUUUUAAAUAAUUCUUCAUGGUCCAUUGACUUCAUGGUCCUGCUCCUUCUCCCACUGAAGUCAAUGGAAAAAUUGACAUAGGAAAAAUUUCCAUUGACUUCAGUAGGCUUUGGGUAAGGUUUUUGCGUUUUGAUCUUGCACUAUAGAAGUCAAUGGGAGUUUUGCCUUUGACUUACUUGGGAGCAGGAUCAAGCCCCACUGGAUCAAAACCUGUUCCCCUCUUAUUGCAUGAUAUCUCAGGACAUGGUCCUGGUAAUACUGGGAUAUAUGGAAUACUGGCAUUCAGAACAUGUUUCCAUUGGGUUUUGUAUGACUGUAUUUCCAAGAUAAGUGUACAGGAAUCCAUAACAAUAUUAAUUCAAAAACGAAUCCUUUCUCAGAUUAACAGGAGAAGUAAAAUGAGCCCCAAAUUUUCUUGCUUUAUCUGAAAAUCAUUUAAAUUGUGGGUUAUUUUGAUGAGGGAGUACUGGAUUUUAUUGAGGCUUUCAUCUGUCCAAUUAACUGAGAUUGAAGUGCUUGCUUCUAUCAGUAUUCAAAGCCAAUCCUUCUAUGUAAUUUAUCUAAAAUGUAUCUGUUUAUGACAGGAUGAAUUCUUACAUCAAUUUCAGCUUGCCCACCAACCAUGGAUAUUGCCAAGUGACACAGAGAGUGAAGGUGUGGAAGCCGAUCAAGAUAAAUGUUUGUGAAAUCAGUGGGAAUAUUGAAGACUUUAAUUAAAACAAAAUCAUGAUUAUCAAACCUACACCUGAAGAUCUGUUUUAGUUUACGUAUAAUGAUUUUAAAUAGUUAUUUUUAUAAUAUCAACAAUACUUAAAUGGAAUUAUUCUGUGUGGAUGCUGUAAUGCACCGAAUCAGAUUACUAACUAUGGCACAGUGUCCUUAGUAAAGAAGGUUUACUGUCACUUUUGAAUACAUAGUUAGUAUAAUGUAUUUUGUUUAGUUUAUAUCCCUGUUAUUUUGGAGUGACAUUUGAUAUAUUAAACUUUGCCUGAUCAAAACAAACUUUGCUUAAAGAUUUAUGUAUUUUAACUUGUCUAAGGUUUUCUACUCCUUAUAUUUUUGUAAUCUUUUCUCAUUUUUAGAUUAAUAAACAUUAAAGCAUUCACCCACAUCUACCAAUAUGUAUGUCCUAUUCAAGUCUCUGAGAGCUAGUUGCUCACCAUAAUCACCUGGAGAAAGGGAUAGGCGCGGGAGAAAGAGAGUGGUAAGGAAGGGAGGUGUAGCAGAAACAGGUGUUGCCUAUGUCACAUAGCUUUGUACUGAGUUUAUCUACUUUGUUCUUAAAAAAAUAAACACAGAUUCUGUUAAAAUGGAAUACACACAUGAGGAAUGAAACAUGCAUGCCAAAAAUAAAGCACUAAGGGAAUUUCAUGUAGACAAUGAAUUUUAUUUACCCAUAUAAAUUACUGAAACAAAUUAUCUGUUUUAAACAAGUUAAUUGGUGUAAGCUGCUUGUUUGGAAUUUUAAGACAUGUCUGCGCACAAAUAUCAAAUUAAGGAAUGUGAUGAUGAGUACAUUUACGGGUCUCAUUUAGCUGUUGAUUCUGUUAAGUAUAUUUGCAGCUUGUUUUCUUUUGUCUUCUGUUAGAUUCAGUUGUUUCUGUAUCUUAGCCAUAACUGUAUAAUGAAACUGCUUGCAACUGUUACAAAAACAGACUGUAACCACCAUCCGAUAAAGAAAUAAAAAUG